Non-coding RNA from Equus caballus (horse), 641 nucleotides. NCBI's taxonomy places the organism in Eukaryota, Metazoa, Chordata, Mammalia, Perissodactyla, Equidae. The record is from RefSeq and is a predicted model, not a curated record.
UAGAAAGUGGUCUCAUUAUAUUUAAGGGGGAAAUUGCCAAGAAGAAAGCAUGUUCCAUGAUGGGAUGUAGAGCAAGGCUCCAAGCCCAGUUCACGCUGAGCUACAAGCGAAUCGUACAAUGGAGCUCUCAGCGAAGCAGCAGCCUCUGCCAAGCUAGCCAUUUUGAUCUACCAUCAGUCUGGAGUGAGGUCAACAUUCAUGUGAACAACUCAACACGCCCUAUCUUCACACUUCACUGAUAUUUUCAUCUUCAAUACUUGUAUUUUUUUCUCUCAGCUAUUUAUGUCCAAUGACCAUACACAAAUGUUCUCUCUGGAAUCAGUCUACCUGAAUACUAAUGCUAGCUCCAUCAGUAGUUAUAGCUAUGUAAUCACUGACACAUUUUUAAGCCUCUCUAAAGAUUUUUGCUACCUUGUUUACAAAAUAGGAAUGAUAAAGGGACUUACAGUGCUUGAUAUUUAGUAAUAUUCAAUUACUAUUAGCUUUUAUUAUUAUCAGCCAAACUAUGCCACCUCUGAAAUAUUGAACCCAAACAGUAAUAUGUAACGUUUGGACACUUAAGUUAUUCCAACUCUUUUACUAUUGUAAAUUAUCCAUAGCAGAAAUCAUAGCCUGAAAAUAAAUUAGAAACAAAAAGAAAA